RNAcentral lists this small RNA (134 nucleotides) under Escherichia coli. RNAcentral describes it as "RtT sRNA". It matches the Rfam family "RtT RNA". Rfam says of the family: This family represents a bacterial cis-regulatory element known as RtT RNA. The exact function of RtT is unknown although it is thought that it may be involved in changing the cellular response in relation to amino acid starvation. Lineage: Bacteria; Pseudomonadati; Pseudomonadota; Gammaproteobacteria; Enterobacterales; Enterobacteriaceae. The record is from RNAcentral.
UGCAUUUGAAGCCCAUGAGGAUGAGAACCUCCGGGGGCGGGGAGGUUCGACUCGAGUGAAGCGAGAGAACGUUGCGCCAGCAACGGCCCGCAGGGCGAGCCACGAAGUGGCGAGUAAUCCUCUAUCACCGACCA